Molecule: long non-coding RNA, 346 nt
Filed under: Eucalyptus grandis
Lineage: Eukaryota; Viridiplantae; Streptophyta; Magnoliopsida; Myrtales; Myrtaceae
Description: long non-coding RNA (EGRA_LNC004273)
Source: RNAcentral
GGUUAUUGUAGAGUUGCCCAACUAGAGAGAAUCGGCAUUCUUGAAGUUUCUCAGCUGAUAAAUCUUCAUCAAGAAUAGGCAUAACAUUCUCAUACAUCAUCUUACCUAAUUUAUUGCAGAGAUGGGCAAGACGGUCCACAGCUUCUCCUUCCCCUUCCAUUACUGCUAGGGAUUAGCCGCGGGAUGGAAGAUUAGAAGGGGAGUCACACCUGAUCCAUACGUGCCGUCAGUUCUCCCUUCUUCGGUGAGUGGAUCUUGGAACAACAACGAAAUCCCCGUCAGUGACGAGGACUGUGGCCCUGGGUUCACGGUUUUGGAUGAAACAGUAAUAUGAAACCAGGGUGUG